AGCCGCACACAGAAGCCAAGAGGCAGGCGAGAUAGGGCUGCCUUCUAUAGGAAAAUGUACACGUAUAAGAAGAGAGGAGUAACAGGUUGAUAUGACUGGCAGGUUAGUUUCAGAGGGGAUAUGGACUUUUGCAGAAGGAGAGAGGUCUUAACGGGUGAGAAGGAACUGCCCUCAAGUGUAGGGAUAACUUGCCAUUAGCGAGCUGGCGGGGCAUCUUGUGACUCUUUUUGCCCAAGAGAAGAGGAAGAGAGUAGUGAAUGACAGGCACGAAGCCAGUGGAGCCUGUGCUGUUUUUCCCCUGUUCCCAGCUUUGACAGUUAUGAACAACAAGGAGACGAGGAGACAACUGUAAAUAAAGCCAAGAGAACAGGGCACACAGCCUGAGGGAAAGUAAUUACCGCAGCUCUGUUUCGCUCUUGAGCUGCUGGAAAUACAGGCAGUUGGGUUUGUGGACUCUAUUUUUAUUUUGGACGGCUAAGACACACACAAGAGGACUGGUUGUUGAGAGUGUUUUUUGGACCGCCUUGGAGGACAGCCGGUAUGGACGUGGGUUUCUCUUUGCGCUCGGAGGCGGUGGGAGCCAUGAGGACAGCGCUGGUGUCUGCUGAGAACUUACAGCUCACUCUGAAGACUCAGCCGAGUCAGGAAGAACAAGCCCUCACACACACCAACAGUAGCCCCAAGGAGACACACAAAGCCGGGAAUGAAGACCUUAAAGAGAUGUUGGAGAGCAACAAGGAGUCGCUCAAACUGGAGGCCAUGAAAAGGGUUGUAGGGCUGAUCGCCAAAGGGAAAAAUGCCUCCGAGCUGUUUCCUGCUGUUGUGAAGAACGUCGCGAGUAAGAACAUCGAGCUUAAGAAGCUUGUGUAUGUCUACCUGGUGAGGUACGCGGAGGAGCAGCAGGACCUGGCUUUACUGUCCAUCAGCACCUUCCAGCGGGCCCUGAAGGACCCAAACCAGUUCAUCCGGGCCAGCGCGCUGAGGGUUCUGUCCAGUAUCCGCGUCCCCAUCAUCGUCCCCAUCAUGAUGCUGGCCAUCAAGGAGGCAGCGGCCGACCUGUCCCCGUACGUCAGGAAGACGUCUGCCCACGCUAUCCAAAAGCUCUACAGCCUGGAUCCAGAACAGAAGGAGCAGCUGAUUGAAGUGAUAGAGAAACUAUUGAAAGACAAAAGCACACUAGUGGCCGGCAGUGUGGUGAUGGCGUUCGAAGAAGUGUGUCCAGAUCGCAUCGACCUGAUCCACAAGAACUACAGGAAGCUGUGUAACCUGCUGGUGGAUGUGGAGGAGUGGGGCCAGGUGGUCAUCAUCUCUAUGCUGACACGCUACGCCAGGACGCAGUUCAUCAGCCCCUGGAAGGAGGGUGCCACGUUCGAUGAGAACAACGAGAAGACGUUCUACGACUCGGAUUCUGAGGAGAAGAAGGAGCAGCAGCUGGAGGCCAAGCCUUACGUCAUGGAUCCAGAUCACAGGCUGCUGCUGAGGAACACCAAACCUCUGCUGCAGAGCAGGAACACUGCCGUGGUGAUGUCUGUCGCUCAGCUUUACUGGCAUCUGGCCCCUAAACAUGAAGUCAGCAUUGUCACGAAGUCACUGGUUCGACUACUAAGGAGCCACAGAGAGGUGCAGUACAUCGUGCUGCAGAACAUCGCCACCAUGUCUAUUCAGAGAAAAGGGAUGUUUGAGCCCUACAUGAAGAGUUUCUAUGUCAGAUCUACAGACGCUACACAUAUCAAAACACUGAAGCUGGAGAUCCUGACCAACCUCGCCAAUGAAGCAAACAUCUCCACUAUUCUGAGGGAAUUUCAGACCUACGUGAAGAGUCAGGACAAGGCGUUUGCGGCAGCCACGAUUCAGGCAAUCGGCAGGUGCGCCACCAACAUCUCUGAGGUGACGGACACCUGUCUCAACGGUCUGGUGCUGCUCCUUUCCAACAGAGACGAGACGGUGGUGGCCGAGAGCGUUGUGGUGAUAAAGAAGCUGCUCCAGACUCAGCCCACCCAGCACAGUGAGAUCAUCAAACACAUGGCCAAGCUGUUCGACAACAUCACGGUCCCCAUGGCCCGAGCCAGCAUCCUGUGGCUGAUGGGAGAGUACUGCGAGAGGGUGCCGAAGAUCGCCCCUGAUGUCCUUCGUAAGAUGGCCAAGACGUUCACAGCCGAGGAGGACAUAGUGAAGCUGCAGACAGUCAACCUGGCAGCCAAACUCUACCUGAUCAACUCUAAACAGACCAAGCUGCUGACCCAGUACAUCCUGAACCUGGGCAAAUACGACCAGAACUACGACAUCAGAGACCGAACGCGCUUCAUACGGCAGCUGAUAGUCCCCAACGAGAAGAGCGGAGCCCUCAACAAGUACGCUCGACGCAUCCUGCUGGCGCCCAAACCCGCUCCGGUGCUGGAGUCUGCCUUCAAAGAUCGUGACCGUUACCAGCUGGGCACUCUCUCCCACAGCCUCAAUACCAAAGCCACUGGAUACCAGGAGCUGUCGGACUGGCCGCCGGUUGCUCCCGAUCAGUCUGUGAGGAACGUGGAAGUGAUCGAGCCCGUGAAAGAGUGGGCGCCAUUAGUCGGGAAGACCAAGCAGUCCAAGUCCGACGACAAGUUCUACUCGGACGAUGAAGAUGAGAAAGAAGAGGAAGGCUCUGAUAGCAACGGCAGUGAAGACAGCAGCAGCAGCAGCAGCAACAGCAGCAGUGAAGAGUCGGGCAGCGAGAGUGAGGAGGAAAGCAGCGACGAGUCGGAAAAGUCCUCCAGCGAUUCGGGAAAGAGUUCGAGCGGAUCUGAAGACAGCUCCAGUGAAUCCCAAUCAGAGCAGAAGAAGAAGAAGAAGAAAAAGACCAAGACGGCGCCGCAGAAGAAAAACAAGCCGACUGCUGCUGACAGUGACUCGGAUGAAAACGGUAACGGACCCGUGGCCCACGCCGGCAGCUCAUCAUCUGAAAGCUCCUCCCCCUCGGAGACAGACUCUGAAGACGACUCGGAUUCAGACCCACCUACACCACAGAAGAAGAAGAGUGACGUCAAGUCCAAACCCAAGGUGGAGGUGAAGUCCAAGAAGGAAGUCUCACUACUGGAUCUAGAUGACUUUUCCUCUGCACCUACAAACACGCCAAAGUCCGCAGUCCUGUCUUCGAGCCUGCUGUCCGACCUGGAGGGCCUGUCUCUCUCCAACGUCUCCUCCGUCAUGCAGGUCACCGCUCCGUCUUUCGGCCCCGUCAAAACCUACGAGCUGCUCCACCAUAUGACAGGAAAAGGGCUCUCGGCCAAGUACCAUUUCCCCAGGCAGCCGUGUCUGUACCAGCCCAGCAUGGUGGCCGUGCAGGUCAUACUCACCAACAGCUCAGACCACAGCUUGGAGGAGAUCCACGUGGGUGACCGAAACCCUGCGAGCCUCAACAUCCACUGCUUUAACACCAUCGAGCGGCUGGAGCCAGAGGCCUCAGUGACGGUUUCCAUGGGUAUUGACUUCAGCGACUCGACACAAGCAGCCAACUUCCAGUUGUGCACCAAGGAGGACCAGUUCAGUGUGUCCAUCCAGGCUGCCGUAGGAGAGCUCCUAAUGCCCAGUAGCAUGGCAGAGCAGGACUUCAGCAAGGAGCAAGGUAAGCUCCUGGGCAUGAAUGAGACCUCGCAAACCGUCACCAUGGCAACAGCAAACACCUCCAGCCAGGCCAUCAGCAAGCAGGUCUUGUCUGUGGCCAACGUAGGAGUGGUGUCAUCCGGCCAGAGCAACUUCCACAGGUUCGCCGGGCGGACGGUCAGCAGUGGAGCCCUGGUCCUGGUGUCCCUGGAGAUGAAGGAGUCCUCCACCGCGCUGCUCACCAUCAACACAGAAAAGAGCGUCAUGGCGUCCAUGUUGCUCCGAGACCUCAAACAAGCCCUCGCCCAAGCGUAGAACUCCCCUCCUCCCUCCUCCCUCCCUCCCUCCAGGUUCUUUUAGUACAGCUUUCCACGGGCUCCCCACCACCUCUCAUCCAUCCCGGGGAGAGAGCAUGCACGCGGCUGCAAGUCAUACAGGGGCGCAGUAAUCGCUUCAGAGAUGGUGAUAAUGACACCGAUGUGAUGGGUGUGAGGGUGGGGAGAUGACCCCCCUGCAGGCUGCAUGGUCACGACGGGAGAAAAACAACCACUAAUGUCAACAACAACAACAAAAAAAAGAAAAAUCUAUUACACUUCCGGAAAAGGCGCGAACGGUUGUUUGUUCUUGGAACUUUAACAUGAUGGAUAACUUUCAUUUCUGUCAUUUAGAUUCAUAUCAGCUUUAAAGAGGCCUGUGGUUCGGUUUGUCCUCCCCUGAUCACCCGCGCUAACACGACACACCUCACCUGUCAGCGCCGGAAGAAGAAGAAGAAGAAGAAGAAGAGGGGGG
Seriola aureovittata is the source of this 4368-nucleotide RNA transcript. It is a transcript of the gene named adaptor related protein complex 3 subunit beta 1a, with no coding region annotated. The record is from RefSeq and is a predicted model, not a curated record. The transcript has 28 exons. NCBI's taxonomy places the organism in Eukaryota, Metazoa, Chordata, Actinopteri, Carangiformes, Carangidae.